This is a non-coding RNA of Danionella cerebrum, 75 nucleotides long. The record is from the annotation of a GenBank genome assembly. NCBI's taxonomy places the organism in Eukaryota, Metazoa, Chordata, Actinopteri, Cypriniformes, Danionidae.
GCUUUCCCACGGCUCAGUUGGUAGAGCAUUACACGAACAACACAAAUGUUGUGGGUUCAAAUCACAUGGAAAGCA